RNAcentral lists this long non-coding RNA (1035 nucleotides) under Danio rerio (zebrafish). RNAcentral's name for it is "abhydrolase domain containing 5, lysophosphatidic acid acyltransferase a (ENSDARG00000099189.2)". The record is from RNAcentral. Lineage: Eukaryota; Metazoa; Chordata; Actinopteri; Cypriniformes; Danionidae.
AUGGCUGAGGAGACUGUGUUAGCGGACACCGGGUCAUGGUGGAGUGCCGACUGGUUACCCUCAUGGUGCCCAACAUCUAAGGACCAGUUGAAGCAGGCAGAAGAGAGGAUGCUGCAGAACAUCGCAAGCAAGCUCUGCAGGCAGUCUGUCCACAUUUCUGACAAAAACUCACUGUGGACAUUGAUAUCUAAGGGACCAGCAGAAAAUAAGACCCCUCUGGUGCUGCUGCAUGGAUUUGGGGGCGGUGUGGGACUCUGGGCAUUGAACCUAGACUCCCUUUCGCAACAGAGACCCGUUUACGCCUUUGACCUGCUGGGCUUUGGGCAGAGCAGCAGACCUCACUUCAACACAGAUGCCCAGGAGGCUGAGAUUCAGUUUGUGGAGUCCAUCGAACAGUGGAGGGAGAAACUUGGCCUGGAAAGUAUGGUUAUGGUGGGACAUAACCUAGGAGGAUAUCUGGCUGCUUCCUACGCAAUCACAUACCCAACCAGAGUAAAGCACCUGAUUCUGGUGGAACCGUGGGGUUUCCCAGAGCGACCCGAGCCAGGAAACCAAGACAGGCCGAUUCCAGUGUGGAUCAAAGCUAUAGGAGCAAUGCUGAGCCCAUUCAACCCGCUUGCUGGGCUCAGAUUGGCUGGACCUUUAGGUCCCACUCUUGUGCAAACACUGAGACCCGACUUCAAAAAGAAAUUUGCAACUAUGUUUGAUGACAACAGAGUCACAGAAUACAUCUACCAUCUUAAUGUCCAAAGUCCAAGUGGUGAAACAGCCUUUAAAAACAUGACCAUUCCAUAUGGCUGGGCAAAGAGGCCCAUGCUGCAGAGAAUUGGCCUGAUUCACGACGACAUCCCCAUUACCGUGAUCUAUGGCUCACGCUCCAGCAUAGAUGGCCACUCCGGCAAUUCAAUCAAAGAAAUGAGGCCAAACUCCCAUGUCGAGAUCAUUGUCAUACGAGGUGCCGGACACUAUGUUUAUGCUGACCAGCCUGAGGAUUUCAACCAGAAGAUACUUCAUGUCUGUGAUACAAUAAGCUGA